This 661-nucleotide ribosomal RNA is filed under the name Salmonella enterica subsp. enterica serovar Newport. RNAcentral describes it as "partial 23S ribosomal RNA". It matches the Rfam family "Bacterial large subunit ribosomal RNA", at positions 2142 to 2802 of the family's 2925-position model. The record is from RNAcentral. Lineage: Bacteria; Pseudomonadati; Pseudomonadota; Gammaproteobacteria; Enterobacterales; Enterobacteriaceae.
GAUAGGUGGGAGGCUUUGAAGUGUGGACGCCAGUCUGCGUGGAGCCGACCUUGAAAUACCACCCUUUAAUGUUUGAUGUUCUAACGUGGACCCGUAAUCCGGGUUGCGGACAGUGUCUGGUGGGUAGUUUGACUGGGGCGGUCUCCUCCUAAAGAGUAACGGAGGAGCACGAAGGUUGGCUAAUCCUGGUCGGACAUCAGGAGGUUAGUGCAAUGGCAUAAGCCAGCUUGACUGCGAGCGUGACGGCGCGAGCAGGUGCGAAAGCAGGUCAUAGUGAUCCGGUGGUUCUGAAUGGAAGGGCCAUCGCUCAACGGAUAAAAGGUACUCCGGGGAUAACAGGCUGAUACCGCCCAAGAGUUCAUAUCGACGGCGGUGUUUGGCACCUCGAUGUCGGCUCAUCACAUCCUGGGGCUGAAGUAGGUCCCAAGGGUAUGGCUGUUCGCCAUUUAAAGUGGUACGCGAGCUGGGUUUAGAACGUCGUGAGACAGUUCGGUCCCUAUCUGCCGUGGGCGCUGGAGAACUGAGGGGGGCUGCUCCUAGUACGAGAGGACCGGAGUGGACGCAUCACUGGUGUUCGGGUUGUCAUGCCAAUGGCACUGCCCGGUAGCUAAAUGCGGAAGAGAUAAGUGCUGAAAGCAUCUAAGCACGAAACUUGCCCCGA